This 330-nucleotide ribosomal RNA is filed under the name uncultured Chloroflexota bacterium. RNAcentral describes it as "bacterial SSU rRNA". It matches the Rfam family "Bacterial small subunit ribosomal RNA", at positions 28 to 351 of the family's 1533-position model. The record is from RNAcentral. Lineage: Bacteria; Bacillati; Chloroflexota.
GAUGAACGCUGGCGGCGUGCUUAAUACAUGCAAGUCGAACGAAGAGCCUUUGUAGCAAUACGGAGGCUUCUUAGUGGCGAACGGGUGCGUAACGCGUUGGUGACCUGCCCCAAAGUGUGGGAUAACAGUUCGAAAGGACUGCUAAUACCGCAUGUGAUCUUCAGUUCUAGAAUCUGAUGAUUAAAGCAGUAAUGCGCUUUGGGAGGGACCUGCGUCCCAUCAGCUAGUUGGUGAGGUAAUGGCCCACCAAGGCUACGACGGGUAGGGAACCUGAGAGGGUGGCUCCCCACACUGGCACUGAAACACGGGCCAGACACCUACGGGUGGCAG